GGUAAAUAUGUUUCGUUAAUUCUCUUUUUUUUAACUUUUAAAAAUACACGUAAAUGCAGCAGCCCAAAUGAAAAGGAAUUUGUAAUAUACGAAAGCACGAGUGUAAAUUCAGAAAGAAUUAAAGUAAGAGGUUAAAGGAAAUCCAAUAAUGAAAUUGAAUCGUAAGAUUUUACUUUGUACUUUGUCCAUAAUGUUUAAACUGUUUAUUGAUUGGAAGAUUUUAACAGAGCAAAAGAAGAUUUAAGUAUGAAAUUUUUAUCCAUCAACUGAACACAAUUGGAACAUUUGGGCUGUUGAAAAUAUAAAUGAAAAGCACAGCAAAACUACUAAAAAUAAAUGAGAAUUUUAUAUAAAUUUUUACAUGUAAAUAUUAUAUUU
Molecule: long non-coding RNA, 378 nt
Organism: Aethina tumida (small hive beetle)
Lineage: Eukaryota; Metazoa; Arthropoda; Insecta; Coleoptera; Nitidulidae
Exons: 3
Source: RefSeq, a predicted model, not a curated record